RNAcentral lists this long non-coding RNA (230 nucleotides) under Pelobates cultripes (western spadefoot toad). The record is from RNAcentral. Lineage: Eukaryota; Metazoa; Chordata; Amphibia; Anura; Pelobatidae.
AAAAGGAUUUUACUAUAUGGAUGUGAAGUAAUCAAGGCUCUGCAAGGUGUGAGGUUCUACACUUGGAAAAAGUCUGAAUGUCUCUUCAUCCAUUUGGCAUGUACCUUGUAAGGGAUGAGCCAAUCUCUUUGAUAUGUAAAUGCCAUUAGCCUUGUUCCAGUAUCAUAUCCAAAGGAAGGACAAAAACAUUCAUAUUUACCCCCACAGAAUAAUAAUAAAGCCUCAUUUUU